GACUACCGGGGUAUCUAAGCCUGUUUGCUCCCCACGCUUUCGCUUCUCAGCGUCAGGAAAGGUCCAGAGAACCGCCUUCGCCACUGGUGUUCCUCCCGAUAUCUGCGCAUUCCACCGCUCCACCGGGAAUUCCAUUCUCCCCUACCUUCCUCCAGUCAGCCCGUAUCGAAAGCAGGCUCAGAGUUAAGCCCUGAGUUUGCACUUUCGACGCAACCAACCGCCUACAAGCUCUUUACGCCCAAUAAAUCCGGACAACGCUCGCACCCUACGUAUCACCGCGGCUGCUGGCACGUAGUUAGCCGGUGCUUCUUCUGCAGGUACCGUCACUCACGCUUCGUCCCUGCUGAAAGCGGUUUACAACCCGAAGGCCGUCAUCCCGCACGCGGCGUUGCUGCAUCAGGCUUCCGCCCAUUGUGCAAUAUUCCCCACUGCAGCCCCCCGUAGG
Molecule: ribosomal RNA, 445 nt
Filed under: uncultured Brooklawnia sp.
Lineage: Bacteria; Bacillati; Actinomycetota; Actinomycetes; Propionibacteriales; Propionibacteriaceae
Description: partial 16S ribosomal RNA
Source: RNAcentral